AUUGAACGCUGGCGGCAGGCCUAACACAUGCAAGUCGAGCGGUAGCACAGGAGAGCUUGCUCUCUGGGUGACGAGCGGCGGACGGGUGAGUAAUGUCUGGGAAACUGCCUGAUGGAGGGGGAUAACUACUGGAGACGGUAGCUAAUACCGCAUAACGUCUUCGGACCAAAGUGGGGGACCUUCGGGCCUCACGCCAUCAGAUGUGCCCAGAUGGGAUUAGCUAGUAGGUGGGGUAAUGGCUCACCUAGGCAACGAUCCCUAGCUGGUCUGAGAGGAUGACCAGCCACACUGGAACUGAGACACGGUCCAGACUCCUACGGGAGGCAGCAGUGGGGAAUAUUGCACAAUGGGCGCAAGCCUGAUGCAGCCAUGCCGCGUGUGUGAAGAAGGCCUUCGGGUUGUAAAGCACUUUCAGCGAGGAGGAAGGGUAGUGUGUUAAUAGCACAUUGCAUUGACGUUACUCGCAGAAGAAGCACCGGCUAACUCCGUGCCAGCAGCCGCGGUAAUACGGAGGGUGCAAGCGUUAAUCGGAAUUACUGGGCGUAAAGCGCACGCAGGCGGUUUGUUAAGUCAGAUGUGAAAUCCCCGCGCUUAACGUGGGAACUGCAUUUGAAACUGGCAAGCUAGAGUCUUGUAGAGGGGGGUAGAAUUCCAGGUGUAGCGGUGAAAUGCGUAGAGAUCUGGAGGAAUACCGGUGGCGAAGGCGGGCCCCUGGACAAAGACUGACGCUCAGGUGCGAAAGCGUGGGGAGCAAACAGGAUUAGAUACCCUG
RNAcentral lists this ribosomal RNA (772 nucleotides) under uncultured bacterium. Its description in RNAcentral is "bacterial SSU rRNA". It matches the Rfam family "Bacterial small subunit ribosomal RNA", at positions 28 to 789 of the family's 1533-position model. The record is from RNAcentral.